UGCCAGCCGCCGCGGUAAUACGGAGGGUGCGAGCGUUGUCCGGAUUUAUUGGGUUUAAAGGGUCCGUAAGCGGUCUGAUAAGUCAGAGGUGAAAUCCUGCAGCUCAACUGUAGCAUUGCCUUUGAUACUGUUAGACUUGAGUUAUUGUGAAGUAGUUAGAAUGUGUAGUGUAGCGGUGAAAUGCAUAGAUAUUACACAGAAUACCGAUUGCGAAGGCAGAUUACUAACAAUAUACUGACGCUGAGGGACGAAAGCGUGGGUAGCGAACAGGAUUAGAUA
RNAcentral lists this ribosomal RNA (279 nucleotides) under uncultured bacterium. RNAcentral's name for it is "partial 16S ribosomal RNA". It matches the Rfam family "Bacterial small subunit ribosomal RNA", at positions 506 to 784 of the family's 1533-position model. The record is from RNAcentral.